ACUAUUUUGGCAGAAAAAUGUAAUAAUUUUAGAAAUUAUAAAUAUAUAAUAAUUUAUUAUAUAGAUAGUA
Molecule: transfer RNA, 70 nt
Filed under: Rhodoneura mellea
Lineage: Eukaryota; Metazoa; Arthropoda; Insecta; Lepidoptera; Thyrididae
Description: tRNA-Leu
Source: RNAcentral